This 19-nucleotide small RNA is filed under the name Arabidopsis thaliana (thale cress). RNAcentral describes it as "ATSL293040". The record is from RNAcentral. Lineage: Eukaryota; Viridiplantae; Streptophyta; Magnoliopsida; Brassicales; Brassicaceae.
UAGUUUUUGGUUUUUUUUU